GUGACCCCGGUCUAACCACCGGGAUGUUCAUAACCCUUUGUUGUCCGACUCUGUUGCCUCCGGGGCGACCCUGCCUUCGGGCGGGGGCUCCGGGUGGACACUUCAAACUCUUGCGUAACUUUGCAGUCUGAGUAAACUUAAUUAAUAAAUUAAAACUUUUAACAACGGAUCUCUUGGUUCUGGCAUCGAUGAAGAACGCAGCGAAAUGCGAUAAGUAAUGUGAAUUGCAGAAUUCAGUGAAUCAUCGAAUCUUUGAACGCACAUUGCGCCCCCUGGUAUUCCGGGGGGCAUGCCUGUUCGAGCGUCAUUUCACCACUCAAGCCUCGCUUGGUAUUGGGCAACGCGGUCCGCCGCGUGCCUCAAAUCGACCGGCUGGGUCUUCUGUCCCCUAAGCGUUGUGGAAACUAUUCGCUAAAGGGUGUUCGGGAGGCUACGCCGUAAAACAACCCCAUUUCUAAGGUUGACCUCGGAUCAGGUAGGGAUACCCGCUGAACUUAAGCAUAUCAAUAAGCGGAGGAAAAGAAACCAACAGGGAUUGCUCUAGUAACGGCGAGUGAAGCAGCAAUAGCUCAAAUUUGAAAUCUGGCGUCUUCGACGUCCGAGUUGUAAUUUGUAGAGGAUGCUUCUGAGUAACCACCGACCUAAGUUCCUUGGAACAGGACGUCAUAGAGGGUGAGAAUCCCGUAUGCGGUCGGAAAGGUGCUCUACACGUAGCUCCUUCGACGAGUCGAGUUGUUUGGGAAUGCAGCUCUAAAUGGGAGGUAAAUUUCUUCUAAAGCUAAAUAUUGGCCAGAGACCGAUAGCGCACAAGUAGAGUGAUCGAAAGAUGAAAAGCACUUUGGAAAGAGAGUUAAAAAGCACGUGAAAUUGUUAAAAGGGAAGGGAUUGCAACCAGACUUGCUCGCGGUGUUCCGCCGGUCUUCUGACCGGUCUACUCGCCGCGUUGCAGGCCAGCAUCGUCUGGUGCCGCUGGAUAAGACUUGAGGAAUGUAGCUCCCUCGGGAGUGUUAUAGCCUCUUGUGAUGCAGCGAGCGCC
Molecule: ribosomal RNA, 1036 nt
Filed under: fungal endophyte
Lineage: Eukaryota; Fungi
Description: eukaryotic LSU rRNA
Rfam family: Eukaryotic large subunit ribosomal RNA (bases 462-1036)
Source: RNAcentral